This 17-nucleotide small RNA is filed under the name Arabidopsis thaliana (thale cress). RNAcentral's name for it is "ATSL186780". Lineage: Eukaryota; Viridiplantae; Streptophyta; Magnoliopsida; Brassicales; Brassicaceae. The record is from RNAcentral.
AGAAGAAGGAAAAAAAU